GAGAGAGAUGAAAGAGAAAGGAUUGGGAGGAAUGAGAGAGGUGAGGUGAGUAAGGGUUUGGGGUUUCUUGUUUUUUUUUUUUGUUUUGUUUUGAGAAUGAAAAUUAUUUAAAUAUCUUUGACUUUAAAACAUAAAAUCCAUAACAUAUGAGGGUAUUUUUAUCUACUAUAACCCGGUACACAUUGUUAAAAUGUACCAAAUGAAAAACAGGUGUACGUG
This 219-nucleotide long non-coding RNA is filed under the name Vigna radiata. Its description in RNAcentral is "long non-coding RNA (VRAD_LNC016620)". Lineage: Eukaryota; Viridiplantae; Streptophyta; Magnoliopsida; Fabales; Fabaceae. The record is from RNAcentral.